Molecule: ribosomal RNA, 253 nt
Filed under: uncultured bacterium
Lineage: Bacteria
Description: partial 16S ribosomal RNA
Rfam family: Bacterial small subunit ribosomal RNA
Source: RNAcentral
UACGGAGGGAGCAAGCGUUAUCCGGAUUCACUGGGUUUAAAGGGUGCGUAGGUGGGCAGGUAAGUCAGUGGUGAAAUCUUUGGGCUUAACCCGAAAACUGCCAUUGAUACUAUUUGUCUUGGAUAUUGUGGAGGUCAGCGGAAUAUGUCAUGUAGCGGUGAAAUGCUUAGAUAUGACAUAGAACACCAAUUGCGAAGGCAGCUGGCUACACAUAUAUUGACACUGAUGCACGAAAGCGUGGGGAUCAAACAGG